Molecule: small nuclear RNA, 97 nt
Filed under: Glossina morsitans morsitans
Lineage: Eukaryota; Metazoa; Arthropoda; Insecta; Diptera; Glossinidae
Source: RNAcentral
ACUCGUCUGCGGCGCAAUGUAUAUUAAAACUGAAGCGAUACAGAAAAGGUUCACAUGAUCUGUGCACAAGGAUGACACACACAAAAUGUAUAUUUGU